CCAACCUUCUUCGAACUGUAGAAACUUUCAGGUAUCGUCUUCUGAAGAAUGUUCCCUACGAUGGGAACUGCUUUUUUUCAUGUUGUUGGUGCCACAAAUGGUGAGGAUGGCAAGCACUUGAGAGAGAGAUUCGUUCAGCAUAUUGUAAGAGAGGUAUAAAACAUUGCUUUCGUGGGGAAGUUAUACGUCAACAUUCAAAGAAACAGACAAGUCAAAAGAUUUCCUUUGGCCAGAAGUUAUACAGACCAGAAAUUGUUAUGGAUGUAUGUGUGACCACUCAGACCACUCAGCCUAAAAGUAACUUAUGGGUGCUGCAGACCAAUUAUUCCGACGUCAUGGAUUCUAGGGUGUGCAAAGCAACUGCUGAACUCAUUUUACAAUCCGUACACAUCAUCACGCACUCCAAAGAUGCGAAAAAAACUGCCGCGGUUUGAGGUUGUAGAGUCC
Mercenaria mercenaria is the source of this 447-nucleotide long non-coding RNA. RefSeq lists it as uncharacterized. The record is from RefSeq and is a predicted model, not a curated record. NCBI's taxonomy places the organism in Eukaryota, Metazoa, Mollusca, Bivalvia, Venerida, Veneridae. The transcript is spliced from 3 exons.